Molecule: long non-coding RNA, 1575 nt
Filed under: Olea europaea subsp. europaea
Lineage: Eukaryota; Viridiplantae; Streptophyta; Magnoliopsida; Lamiales; Oleaceae
Source: RNAcentral
CGGACGGUUACCAAUUGAUGCCCCACCAAAGGAUGUCUACAUAAUGUCCUCAUACAGACAAAUUUUCUGUUAUGACUAAAUUGCCCCAGCAUCUCAUUCUACUGCUAAUGUCGAAUUACAGUUCAAAUAAAGAAAGUUUUUAGUGAUGAAGCCUGGAGUAAUUCACUCUUUAACACCUAAAUCUCUUCGAGGCGGUGAAGUAUGAGCGGGCACACGAAAUAUAUAUUUAUGGGGUUAUCUUAGUCUUGUACUUUAGCUUAGUUUACAUACUUUUUACGGUAAGUUUGUAUUUCCAUCUUGAAUUUAUAUUUUGUUGAUAUAUAUCCGUGUUAGCCCUUGUUUGAUCCCCAUUCUUUGGAGAAAAUAAAUUCUUCAACAGUGUUUUGACAUAAUUCUAACGACACAUUCUUUAAUAAAAUAAUAUUACACGUAAAUCCAAAACGUUUCAUUAUUUUUUAACCACAUAUUUUUCAUCAAUACACUAUUUAAAAAUUCAUUUUUCCCAUCAAAAUGGGGCUCAACCAAGGGCUUAAUAAACAGUCUUUAGUUGUGUGAGAUGAUUAAAAUAAAAUAAAACUAUUGACUAAGGAUCAGUUUAGCGGAAUUUUCGAAAAGUCAAAAGCUAUUUAUGAAACUAAGAAGCUGCUUUUGUGUUUGAUUCGAUAAUUUUUUGUAGUGUUCAUAAUUUCUACUUUUGUUUUUGUUUCUUACAAAAGAGCUUUCUUAGGACAAGGCCUUAUGCUAAAAAAAGCAGAAGUACUGAAAAACGGCCUUAAGUGUUUAAGGAACUCAAUUGUUGUACUCAAUUGUUGUUGCGUGUACUGCAAAGAAAGCAAAGGGGUAUUUUAGUAAGUGCAGAUCUAAUCAAAUUCCCUAGAUCUGCUGUUGUAGCAAGUGUUGAAAUAUUACAAGUAUAAUAAAGGUCAACUAAUUGAUGAUCCCAAAGUCUUGUGAUGCAAAAAAGAAGAAACAUCCAAUAAAAUGUCAAGAUUUGAGGAUGCAUUGUCUGUAUUGAUGAACGUAAUGCUGAGGAAGAGCAUCAGCAUAUAUCAAGAAUUUUCAUUUGUGCUGUUGGACUUGGUUUCGGUACUGAAUUCAAUGUUUCGAUUUUCGGGCAUGUUUUUGCAGAGAUCGAACGCAGUUCCCAGUCGUCACUCGCCUAUGUCAUCGAUGUUUGCUCGCCAUGACUGGUAAAAGUUGUUGCUAAACAUGGUUAGAAUAAAAAUGGUGAUAGUCGAUCCCAAAUUUAUUAGGAACAAAAGUUUAAACGUUGUUUUGUUGUUGUGUUGUGUUGUGAUGACAUGAUGAAUGUUGUAAGUCUAGAUCUAAGUACUGUAUCAAGAAUCAUAUCAUGAUUGAUUGAAUAAUUUUGUGAUUUUUUCUCACUAUAAGAAUUUGCGUUCCAUCAUGAAGGAAAAUCGCUUCUUUGCAAAAACUAAUGACUUUAUUCUGAUUAAUCAGAAGAUUGAUUUUGGACAUAGUCUACAAAUUAUCUCCAUUGAUUGAGUCUUGAAAAAGAAAUGAUGAAUCUAUUGUGUUAUCUUGGAAUUUAUGUAGACAUGGUAAUAGUAUUAG